Molecule: non-coding RNA, 26 nt
Filed under: Mus musculus (house mouse)
Lineage: Eukaryota; Metazoa; Chordata; Mammalia; Rodentia; Muridae
Source: RNAcentral
UGUAGUUCCUGCUUGUGCCCAGGUCC